Molecule: microRNA precursor, 61 nt
Filed under: Mus pahari (shrew mouse)
Lineage: Eukaryota; Metazoa; Chordata; Mammalia; Rodentia; Muridae
Description: microRNA 7651 (MGP_PahariEiJ_G0006787.1)
Source: RNAcentral
AAGUGGAAAGCCAGCCUGAGAUACAGUGUGAUAAUCCGUUUCAAGGGUUUUUUCCCCUUGA